GGGUUCAAAUGACCCG
This 16-nucleotide ribosomal RNA is filed under the name Cladosporium sp. EF-41. RNAcentral describes it as "partial 18S ribosomal RNA". The record is from RNAcentral. Lineage: Eukaryota; Fungi; Ascomycota; Dothideomycetes; Cladosporiales; Cladosporiaceae.